RNAcentral lists this ribosomal RNA (412 nucleotides) under Tannerella forsythia. Its description in RNAcentral is "bacterial SSU rRNA". It matches the Rfam family "Bacterial small subunit ribosomal RNA", at positions 28 to 435 of the family's 1533-position model. The record is from RNAcentral. Lineage: Bacteria; Pseudomonadati; Bacteroidota; Bacteroidia; Bacteroidales; Tannerellaceae.
GAUGAACGCUAGCGAUAGGCUUAACACAUGCAAGUCGAGGGGCAUCGAGGGUAGCAAUACCUGUCGGCGUCCGGCGCACGGGUGAGUAACGCGUAUGUAACCUGCCCGCAACAGAGGGAUAACCCGGCGAAAGUCGGACUAAUACCUCAUAAAACAGGGGUUCCGCAUGGGGCUAUUUGUUAAAGAUUUAUUGGUUGCGGAUGGGCAUGCGUACCAUUAGGUAGUUGGUGAGGUAACGGCUCACCAAGCCAUCGAUGGUUAGGGGUUCUGAGAGGAAGGUCCCCCACACUGGUACUGAGACACGGACCAGACUCCUACGGGAGGCAGCAGUGAGGAAUAUUGGUCAAUGGGCGAGAGCCUGAACCAGCCAAGUCGCGUGAAGGAUGACUGCCCUAUGGGUUGUAAACUUCUU